This 246-nucleotide ribosomal RNA is filed under the name uncultured bacterium. Its description in RNAcentral is "partial 16S ribosomal RNA". It matches the Rfam family "Bacterial small subunit ribosomal RNA", at positions 523 to 769 of the family's 1533-position model. The record is from RNAcentral.
AUACGUAGGUGGCGAGCGUUGUCCGGAAUUACUGGGUGUAAAGGGAGCGUAGGCGGGUACGCAAGUUGAAUGUGAAAACUAACGGCUCAACCGAUAGUUGCGUUCAAAACUGCGGAUCUUGAGUGAAGUAGAGGCAGGCGGAAUUCCUAGUGUAGCGGUAAAAUGCGUAGAUAUUAGGAGGAACACCAGUGGCGAAGGCGCUUCUCUGGACUGUAACUGACGCUGAGGCUCGAAAGCGUGGGGAGC